This 407-nucleotide ribosomal RNA is filed under the name Vibrio parahaemolyticus. RNAcentral's name for it is "bacterial SSU rRNA". It matches the Rfam family "Bacterial small subunit ribosomal RNA", at positions 1 to 394 of the family's 1533-position model. The record is from RNAcentral. Lineage: Bacteria; Pseudomonadati; Pseudomonadota; Gammaproteobacteria; Vibrionales; Vibrionaceae.
AAAUUGAAGAGUUUGAUCAUGGCUCAGAUUGAACGCUGGCGGCAGGCCUAACACAUGCAAGUCGAGCGGAAACGAGUUAUCUGAACCUUCGGGGGACGAUAACGGCGUCGAGCGGCGGACGGGUGAGUAAUGCCUAGGAAAUUGCCCUGAUGUGGGGGAUAACCAUUGGAAACGAUGGCUAAUACCGCAUGAUGCCUACGGGCCAAAGAGGGGGACCUUCGGGCCUCUCGCGUCAGGAUAUGCCUAGGUGGGAUUAGCUAGUUGGUGAGGUAAGGGCUCACCAAGGCGACGAUCCCUAGCUGGUCUGAGAGGAUGAUCAGCCACACUGGAACUGAGACACGGUCCAGACUCCUACGGGAGGCAGCAGUGGGGAAUAUUGCACAAUGGGCGCAAGCCUGAUGCAGCCA